RNAcentral lists this non-coding RNA (45 nucleotides) under Rhodanobacter spathiphylli. RNAcentral's name for it is "Rhodanobacter sp. Guanidine-II sequence". It matches the Rfam family "Guanidine-II riboswitch aptamer (mini-ykkC)". From Rfam's summary of the family: Simpler in structure and has fewer highly conserved nucleotide positions than the ykkC-yxkD leader. The record is from RNAcentral. Lineage: Bacteria; Pseudomonadati; Pseudomonadota; Gammaproteobacteria; Lysobacterales; Rhodanobacteraceae.
GCGCGGGGACGACCCGGCGUACUUUUCCAUCGCGGGGACGGCCCU